This 124-nucleotide microRNA precursor is filed under the name Hordeum vulgare. RNAcentral describes it as "microRNA MIR1122". It matches the Rfam family "MIR1120/MIR1122 microRNA precursor family". Lineage: Eukaryota; Viridiplantae; Streptophyta; Magnoliopsida; Poales; Poaceae. The record is from RNAcentral.
UUUAUACUCUCUCCGUUUAAAAAUACUUGUCCUAAAAAUUGAUGUAUCUCAACUUAUUUUAGUUAUAAAUACAUCCAUUUUACUCAUUUUUAGGACAAGUAUUUUCGGACGGAGGGAGUACCAU